This 270-nucleotide long non-coding RNA is filed under the name Pelobates cultripes (western spadefoot toad). The record is from RNAcentral. Lineage: Eukaryota; Metazoa; Chordata; Amphibia; Anura; Pelobatidae.
CAUCUAUCAUUAUUAUACAAACUAUAACAAAUGUAAAGAUUUUUCCACAGAUUUUACCUGUUAACAUUUUUAGCACAACAGCACCUGAUGUCAGUGAGAUGUCUAUCACUGAGAUGUUACAAAGAUUCCAAUACAGCAAAAAGAGGCGUUCUUGAGAAUCCACUUCAAUUGCUGUAUCAACAUAACAUUUACUAUAAUGGGAUCCAUGUCACUUAAGACAAUGUCUUGGAAAUUAUGUCAAUUAAUUGAUUCCGUAAAAGAAUAUCGGAG